CGAGAGGGUGUCACCGCUCCCAACCCACUGUUUACCUACCCGUCCACCGUGCUUCGGCAGGCAGUCCUGUGGGACAGGGCCUCGCCCCCGCGAGGGGGUGCCUGCCGCUGGCCAACCAAAAAUUCUAGCUGUUUUUGUACCAUCUGAGUCUUCCACAAAUAAACA
RNAcentral lists this unclassified non-coding RNA (165 nucleotides) under soil metagenome. RNAcentral describes it as "partial internal transcribed spacer 1". The record is from RNAcentral.